UUUAUUGAGAGUUUGAUCCUGGCUCAGGACGAACGCUGGCGGCGUGCUUAACACAUGCAAGUCGAGCGAUGAAGCUCCUUCGGGAGUGGAUUAGCGGCG
This 99-nucleotide ribosomal RNA is filed under the name Clostridium beijerinckii. RNAcentral describes it as "partial 16S ribosomal RNA". It matches the Rfam family "Bacterial small subunit ribosomal RNA", at positions 1 to 100 of the family's 1533-position model. The record is from RNAcentral. Lineage: Bacteria; Bacillati; Bacillota; Clostridia; Eubacteriales; Clostridiaceae.